RNAcentral lists this non-coding RNA (178 nucleotides) under Geosporobacter subterraneus. Lineage: Bacteria; Bacillati; Bacillota; Clostridia; Peptostreptococcales; Thermotaleaceae. The record is from RNAcentral.
AAAUUGAAUAAAUCUACAGGUGCCAAUCCUAUGAUUGGUGAAAAGGGAAGCAGGUGAAAGUCCUGCACGGUCCCGCCGCUGUAAGAGGGAAAUCUUUAUCAAAGCCACUGUAAAACUGGGAAGGCGAUAAAGAUGCUGAUCCUUGAGUCAGAAGACCUGCCUGUAUGAUCCACCAAUA